RNAcentral lists this ribosomal RNA (205 nucleotides) under uncultured bacterium. RNAcentral describes it as "partial 16S ribosomal RNA". It matches the Rfam family "Bacterial small subunit ribosomal RNA", at positions 568 to 772 of the family's 1533-position model. The record is from RNAcentral.
UGUGUAGGCGGUUCUUUAAGUUUGGUGUGAAAUCUCCCGGCUCAACCGGGAGGGUGCGCCGAAUACUGAGGGACUAGAGUGUGGGAGAGGAAAGUGGAAUUCCUGGUGUAGCGGUGAAAUGCGUAGAUAUCAGGAGGAACACCGGUGGUGUAGACGGCUUUCUGGACCAUAACUGACGCUGAGACACGAAAGCGUGGGUAGAAAC